AUUUAAUGGCGUGUCGAACGGCAGCACGGGGAGCUUGCAUCUGGCUUUGGCGAGCCCUGGCGAACGGGUGAGUAAUAUAUCGGAACGUACCCUGGAGUGGGGGAUAACGUAGCGAAAGUUACGCUAAUACCGCAUACGAUCUAAGGAUGAAAGUGGGGGACUCGCAAGAACCUCAUGCUCGUGGAGCGGCCGAUAUCUGAUUAGCUAGUUGGUAGGGUAAAAAGCCUACCAAGGGCAUCGAUCAGUAGCUGGUCUGAGAGGACGACCAGCCACACUGGAACUGAGACACGGUCCAGACUCCUACGGGAGGCAGCAGUGGGGGAAUGGACAAUGGCGGGCAACCCUGAUCCAGCAAUGCCGCGUGAGUGAAGAAGGCCUUCGGGUUGUAAAGCUCUUUUACCGUCAGGGAAGAAACGGCGGGUUGGCUAAUAUAGCCGUAUAUGAGGUACCUGAAGAAUAAGCACCGGCUAACUACGUGCCAGCAGCCGCGGUAAUACGUAGGGUGCAAGCGUUAAUCGGAAUUACUGGGCGUAAGGCGUGCGCAGGCGGUUUUGUAAGACUGUCGUGAAAUCCCCGGGCUCAACCUGGGAAUGGCGAUGGUGACUGCAAGGCUAGAGUUUGGCAGAGGGGGGUAGAAUUCCACGUGUAGCAGUGAAAUGCGUAGAUAUGUGGAGGAACACCGAUGGCGAAGGCAGCCCCCUGGGUCAAAACUGACGCUCAUGCACGAUAGCGUGGGGAGCAAACAGGAUUAGAUACCCUGGUAGUCCACGCCCUAAACGAUGUCUACUAGUUGUCGGGUCUUAAUUGACUUGGUAACGCAGCUAACGCGUGAAGUAGACCGCCUGGGGAGUACGGUCGCAAGAUUAAAACUCAAAGGAAUUGACGGGGACCCGCACAAGCGGUGGAUGAUGUGGAUUAAAUU
This 922-nucleotide ribosomal RNA is filed under the name Duganella sp. RNAcentral describes it as "bacterial SSU rRNA". It matches the Rfam family "Bacterial small subunit ribosomal RNA", at positions 34 to 952 of the family's 1533-position model. Lineage: Bacteria; Pseudomonadati; Pseudomonadota; Betaproteobacteria; Burkholderiales; Oxalobacteraceae. The record is from RNAcentral.